Molecule: long non-coding RNA, 435 nt
Organism: Oryzias melastigma (Indian medaka)
Lineage: Eukaryota; Metazoa; Chordata; Actinopteri; Beloniformes; Adrianichthyidae
Exons: 2
Source: RefSeq, a predicted model, not a curated record
UUUUAAUACAUGAUCAUUAGUCUUGUGGCACUGUCAUUUGUGAACAAUGCAUAUGCCUCUAUUACCUUACUCACAUCCUGCAAUCAGUGUUUGGUUGCCAAGCAACCAGCAAGCAGAUGUGGAGGAAAGUCCCCUUAUAUACAAUCCAGUAUUAUUGUGUAUUUUCCUGUGAUGAAAGCAACACACACUAAUGGCUGGAAAAUAACCCUCACCACAGCUUUAUCCCAGAUGAGAGCCAUUCUUUCCUCCACGCCGUUCACACCUUCUGGGAUCUGAGUGAAGUCGUCUUUGCCGAUGGCCUUCUGUGCCACGCUGAAGGUGCAGUGAGCGCUGCCAGUCACGCUCAGGUCUCCGCUGUCAGGAAACGUCAAGAAAAGAUGGAGUUAUUCUGACGCAGAGACGUUUGUGUAUGUGAAUAAAGCCCUGCCAACAUGA